CAAAAUCAAAACUCUCGGCCGCCACUCUUCCUCUCCAUUUUAUUAUUCCUUUCCUCCAUAGUAGUGGCGUUAAUUUAAAGCUGCAAGAACAAAGAAGAGAAAGAGGGUAUCGAUCUACACUGCUUCUCAUUUGUAGACAAAAAAUUUAACUUGUCUGUUUGUCGCUUCUAUAUGGGUGCUCAAGAGAAAAGUACCUUUGAAAAAUUUGAAUCUCUUCUAAUGUCAAACUUAUAGUGAUUACCGAGAGUGCUUCAUUAUUCUUGGAUGCAUGAAGAUCAAGCACGAUGAGGGUGGCAACAUGAAUCAUCAAGCAAUACUUAUGUUCAUUUAAUGUGAAAUUAUGUAAAUUAUUUUUUAUCCCUGUUACAAUCAAGCCUCACAUUGGCUAGUUCUUUUCUUCAAAUUUUAGUUAUUGUAGAAGACUUCUCUACUGCAGAUGCUAUUAAUUUAUUAGUACAAAUGUGUACUUUGAAAUUUAUUUUGUAAAA
Long non-coding RNA from Nicotiana attenuata, 488 nucleotides. RefSeq lists it as uncharacterized. The transcript has 3 exons. The record is from RefSeq and is a predicted model, not a curated record. NCBI's taxonomy places the organism in Eukaryota, Viridiplantae, Streptophyta, Magnoliopsida, Solanales, Solanaceae.